Molecule: non-coding RNA, 75 nt
Organism: Myotis brandtii (Brandt's bat)
Lineage: Eukaryota; Metazoa; Chordata; Mammalia; Chiroptera; Vespertilionidae
Source: Rfam
GAUGGUUCUCGGGUGAUCCAUCCCAGAAUUGGGCUCCCUCCUCUCUGGUUCCAGGUGUGUCACCCAAGAACCACC